This is an RNA transcript of Vicia villosa (hairy vetch), 2616 nucleotides long. It is a transcript of the gene named sucrose transport protein SUC4-like, with no coding region annotated. The transcript is spliced from 6 exons. Lineage: Eukaryota; Viridiplantae; Streptophyta; Magnoliopsida; Fabales; Fabaceae. The record is from RefSeq and is a predicted model, not a curated record.
AAGUAGAAUAAAAAAACAAGAUUAUCAUGUGAGGAGGACAGGACACGCACCCGUAAACAGAUCGAUCUCAGUUGUACCGAAAACGUUCCUAACAAGUUUCAACAGAAUCACAACCUGGUCUUACGCGAUGCCCUUGUCCUCAGGAAACGCUCACAAACUUCAUGCAAACCACCUAAACAUGAACACCCAAACCCAAAAACAUCACCACAAUUUUCCACAAUGCCGAAUCCAGAGUCCUCCCGUCAAUCCAAUCGCCGUUCCAAAACUCGACCCUCGUCUUCCAAGCCUCGCCCCAAAGACAGAGUUCCGCUCACCAAGCUACUCCGAGUGGCGUCGGUUGCCGGUGGGAUUCAGUUCGGAUGGGCUUUGCAGUUGUCUCUUCUAACCCCCUAUGUGCAGCAGCUCGGGAUUCCGCAUGCGUGGGCGAGUAUUAUAUGGCUGUGUGGGCCGCUUUCCGGGCUUAUUGUUCAGCCGUUGGUUGGGCAUUUGAGUGAUCGGUGUGCCAGUCGAUUUGGGAGGAGGAGGCCGUUUAUUUUAGGCGGAGCUAUUUCGAUUGCGUUGUCUGUGCUUAUUAUUGGUCAUGCUGCGGAUUUGGGAUGGAGGUUUGGUGAUACGAGUGAUCAUCGGCCUAGCGCGGUCGCGUUUUUCGUGUUCGGGUUUUGGAUUUUGGAUGUUGCUAAUAAUGUUACUCAAGGCCCUUGUAGAGCUUUGCUCGGUGAUCUGACCGGUAAGGAUCAUCGAAGGACACGGGUCGCAAAUGCUUAUUUUUCCCUAUUUAUGGCUAUUGGUAACGUUCUUGGAUAUGCAACUGGAGCAUAUAGUAGUUGGUACAAGGUCUUUCCUUUCACACUUACCCCUGCAUGCAAUAUUAGCUGUGCAAAUCUCAAGUCUGCUUUCUUUCUGGACAUUGUUUUCAUGAUUGUCACCACCUAUAUCAGUAUCACAGCAGCUAAUGAAGUGCCUCUAGGAUCAAGUGGGGCACCCGAUGCGGAAGCAGCAGAGGAGUCCGGUGGUAGUGCGGAAGAAGCUUUUUUGUGGGAACUAUUUGGGACAUUCAAAUAUUUUUCAAAGCCUAUAUGGAUAGUAUUAUCUGUUACUGCUCUAACAUGGGUUGGGUGGUUUCCCUUUCUUCUAUUUGAUACUGAUUGGAUGGGCCGAGAAAUUUAUGGCGGUGAGCCAAAUGAAGGCACUAAUUAUGAUUCCGGAGUUAGAAUGGGGGCACUUGGUUUAUUGCUUAAUUCAGUUGUUCUUGGAGUAACAUCAUUACUCAUGGAGAAGCUAUGCAGGAAGCGGGGGGCUGGAUUUGUGUGGGGAAUCGCAAAUAUCCUAAUGGCUGUCUGCUUUGUAGCAAUGCUUGUAGUAACCUAUGUGGCAAAAAACAUUGGUUAUUUAGGCAAAGACCUACCACCCACUAGCAUCGUGAUAGGUGCACUGGCAAUCUUUACCGUUCUCGGGUUUCCAUUGGCUAUCACUUACAGUGUUCCAUAUGCCUUAAUUUCUACACAUAUUCAGCCAUUGGGGCUCGGCCAAGGAUUGUCAAUGGGAGUCCUAAAUCUUGCAAUAGUGUUCCCACAGAUGGUAGUGUCCUUAGGAAGUGGACCAUGGGAUCAGUUAUUUGGCGGAGGAAACUCUCCGGCGUUUGCCGUGGCAGCUAUUGCAGCUCUUGUCAGUGGAGUCUUAGCUGUCUUUGCUAUUCCCCAAACUGGUUCUCAAAAGCCUAGAAACCCAGUAUGAGGUAUCAUGUUCGAUCUGCUUUUGCUAGCGAUUUCUUUUGAAGAUGGAUUAUGGAAUUGAACUGAUUUUACUCAUGUCAAUGGAGAAAUCUCUUUCUGGCGGAAGCAUCUUACCUCACAUUGGCUGUGGAAAAAGGUUUAGCUGGAGGGUACACAAUAAGCGAAUCUGUUAAGAGGAGCAUUAUUGUUGCUAGUGCCAAUUUUUACUGUCUUUUCUGCAAUAGGACUACCUGUUUUAAGCUACAUUAUUUAUUAGACAAAUAUACUUUUUUUAGAUGGACCAGCACAGUAAAUCCAAACUUCAUCAUUACAUUGAUCUUGAGUUUUUAUCUGUUUUAAAAAUAUAUUUGAAUCAAAUCAUUUGGGUGAGAGAUAUCUGCAACAUCCUGAGUAGCAGCAGCAGCAUCAAAAGAGGAUGCGAAAUUUCGAGAGACGGGUUAUUUUCGAAUCCGUAUUGUAUUAUUAAUCCAUUCAUUGGAAACAAGACUUUGUUUUUAAACUGUCAGAACUUGUGAAUCUCUGGUUUAUUUUCAGAGCAUUGGGUUCCCUUGUUUGAUACAUAUCUUUCAUUGACAUCAAGUGCAUGAGCUACAAUACAAAGCAAUGGAAUCUGACAUGGGAUAUGGCCAUAUGUUUCAGAUUAACUUUUCUAAUAAUGAAUUAAAGAUGCAAGUAAUUAGUACUAAUUAAAUGGUUAUAAUUAAUUUCUCUAAUGUUUCAUAUCUCCCAUCUGUCUCUUGUCUAUACGGCCAACUACCAUCAUUCUCCAUUAACUGUUAACACAACAGGUGGUCCCUGUCUCUCCAUGAUAUAUAUAAUACCACCAACACCUACCUCUGCAUAAUCCAUAUACAUAUCCACGAAAUCAAAUUAGAUAAACUUU